RNAcentral lists this long non-coding RNA (1963 nucleotides) under Marmota monax (woodchuck). The record is from RNAcentral. Lineage: Eukaryota; Metazoa; Chordata; Mammalia; Rodentia; Sciuridae.
AAAGGCACUCAUAAUCAUAAUCACAGCCAUUACUAUGUUUUCUGGCAGCUCAGUGGCACUCUUCCAUCACCGGCCUCCAGAGAUGCAGUUUUGCCUCCAGAGCAGAGAGCAUCUGUGUGCAGCAGAGGAUCAGCCUGUGUUCCUGCCCCGGUCAACCAGGAGCGCUUUUGCAGUGACACAGCCCACCCAGGGAGCACCACCAGUGACUGAGGAUCACCUAACAAAUGAGGGAGCUGCUCCAUUCUUAGCUGUUCUUUUCCUCUCCCAAGAAUCUUUCAUUCUUUGGUAACUUCGGGGUGAAACACAGCAGAUUUAAAAUUCCAAACAGCAUUUUGCUCUAGAUGCCCUGCAAUGUGGCUCUGAAUGCAGAAAGCAGUGGAAUAUAUAAGAAGGCUCUUUAUAAACUUAAAAGUUUUAAAGAGAAAGGCCAAAAGUGCUUGCUUGUCCUCCCCUCCUCCCCAUUACUCAUUUGUGUGCAUUUAGAAAUGGGAAAGAAUUUCCACGCCAGCAUCCUAAGCCUCCUUUCUGAGAUUCCUAGGAAGUAUGGAGUCAGUGCCCCUGGGUCAGGCUGUUAAGGAGCUUGUCUUCCAACCUGUCUCAUCUGAAAUUCCACCAUUAGAGCUACCUUUCCUAGGAAGUGUUCUCCUACCUUCUCAAGCAGAUCCUGGGGUUCUUCUAUGUUCCCACAGGCAGUGUGACCAAAUGUACCUUUUUCCAGGUAUUAUCCCAGUUUGGGCAAUCAAAAUCCCACAGGUUAGAAAAUCUCAGACUCCUGGGAAAACUGCGACAGCUGGUCACUAUUGCACUGUGUUCAAAUGUCAGAAUUUACAUUAUUGGAGUAAUCAAGUUGCUUGGUGAGUGCCCUCACUGUGAACCCUUUGAAGAUAGAAAUCAUAUAAACUUGAAGACAUUAGUUGUUGAAAAAAUGAAGGAAAAUUUUAUAGAAUAAGUGAAUGAAUGAGAUUAAUAAAUCUGAUAAGAUUGCUUAUAGUUUCUCCAGAUUGAUGCAUCAAAUAUAAUAAAAUGUCUGGAUUACAUGCCUGAAUUUAAUGGCUAGAAAUGAUCCUGAAAUUGUUUUUGAGAACAAUGAGUAUUAAUAAAACAUCCCAGGACAUGAAGUUGCUGAACAUCAUCAAGCAAUGAGAGAUGAGGAUCGAAGUUGAACACAAGCUUUUUUUUUUCAAGACAGGAAAACAAGAAUUGUGGUCUGAAUAUGCUCCCCAAAGUUUAUGUGUUCGGAGGUGGGACAUAGUGGAAGAUGUUUUGAUAAUAAGGACACCAUUCUUGGGAAUAAGUAAAUACUAUUAACUCAGAAGCAUAGUUUGUUUGUUUGUUUUAAUAAAAUGACAAGUUUGUUUCCUCCUGCUCACCCUCUCUCCUCCCAUUUGUCAUGGCUUGGUGUAGCAAGAUGGCAGCUCCUGAAUCUUAGACUUUCAAGCCUCAGGAAUCAUGAGCCUAUAAAUUUCUAUUCAUUGUAAGUUACCCAGUGUGUAGUUUUAUGCUAUAGCAACACAGAACACAAUAAGCCAGCAAGAGAUAAGGGUUUUCUUUUUUUUCCUGGUCCAUCUUUUUUGCAUUGUCAAGUAAACCCAAUGUGUACAAUCUAUGGUGUAAAAAGCUUAUUGGAUAUUCAUAGCUAAAUUCAUUGUAUUACUUUUUCUUUUCAUUCAGUUAAAUGAGUUACAGGGCAAUAUGAUAAGUAACAGAGGUGAGAGCAGGAAGAAAACAAGGUCAACCUGGCAUGUUGGAAGGUGGCAUGAAGGCCUGAUUAGUGAAAGGACCCGAAGCCAGGUGGCCUGGCUUGAACUCUACCCACUUCUACCUUCUCACUUUGUGAACUUGGGUAGGUUAACAUCACUAGUGUUCAAUUGUCUUUUAUGUGAAACAACAAUAGUAAUAAUACUAUAAUGAUAAUACUAUCUAGUAGGGUUACUCUGAAGAUAAAUGAGAUACAACUCUUGGC